Passer domesticus (house sparrow) is the source of this 1947-nucleotide long non-coding RNA. RefSeq lists it as uncharacterized. NCBI's taxonomy places the organism in Eukaryota, Metazoa, Chordata, Aves, Passeriformes, Passeridae. The transcript has 3 exons. The record is from RefSeq and is a predicted model, not a curated record.
UAGGUUUACCAAACACUGCAGAAGACAGCAAACAAACAAAAUGGAAACCAAGAAAAGGACUUAUACUACCUGGUUAUGGAGUUUCAAAAAAAUAUCCUUAAACAGUGUGAUUCUCUCCUGUUCUGGGUGAAGGUCAUGCUGCAUGAAAAUUAAAGUCCCUUUGAUGAUCUGCUAUGCCUUGGCAAAUGCAAUUGACCUUCUUUGAGAGGUGAAAAUUGCCUUCUGUCUCACCUAGGGUCAGGCUAAACUAUUCAAGCUUACAACAAAACAACCCCUUUUCCUCCUUUUAAUUUGUAAGGUGGACUUUAGCCAUCUGACCCUACUUUGGGACAAAUGUAUUGCCAAUGGGAAAAAUAGAACAUUAAUACUUUUUAGUGUCUUUUUCAACCAAUAACAAUGGCCUAUCUAACUACAUUUUCUGUCCUCAGUUGGGAAGGAGGGGAAGACUUAUGCACGGACAUUUGGCAGUCUGCCGGCUGUUCGGUACAUUUCAUUUCAAUUGCUGCUUUCUCUUACUUUCUGAAUAAACUCUUUUUAACCAAGUCUUGCUUGAACACAUUGUAGUUGGCCCUAGGUGGCACUUUUAAGCCCUAAGGACUACUUUAAGGAGAUUGAUACAUCAAAGGAUGUUCCAAGUCACUCCAGAAAUGUACUAACAAGUUAAGGACUUGUGAAACAUGCCUAGUUGGAAUGGUGAUUUGGUCUGAAAACACUUUAAUCUGUGUUUUAGGUCAGGACUCUUCUGAUUUCAAGGGAUGAUGGGUAACAGAAUAAAAAAGUAUGCUGCCUUUCUUGAACCACUUAGGGAAAAAAUAUAGACUGUCUUUUAACACUUGCAAAGUGAAGUCAUUGCAUGAGUCUACCUUAUCUGGCUGGCAUUUCUAGUUUAUUUUGCUGCUGCUGCUGGUUUUGUUACUGUUCCCUUUUCCAAUUGCUUUUUCUGAUCUUUGCAUGAACAUGGUUUUCUUAUGUUUUUGUAUUACACCUCUGUAAUAGUGGAAAAGGGUUCCAUAGCCUUUUCGCAAUACUUUCUCUAAAUUAUGUUAUUAGAAGAUUGCAGGGUUUUUUUGUUGUUUGGGGUUGUUUUUAUUUGUUUAUUUGUUUGUUUGUUUGUUUUCCCACUCUGUCACAUUUCUGUUUGCUACUAAAUCACAAAAUGAAAAUGAGGUCCUUGUAAAAUGCAAGAAUAUCCUGGAACACUUUUAGCAAUUCCAAAGGAUCUAGAACUUGGAUAGAGCAGCACGCUAUUCAAAAUUAUGAAAGGAUAUUAUUAAGGAUAUUAUUAAGGAUAAUAGAUCUUUAAUGAAAACAACAUAGAUGCUUAAAUAAAGACAUAAAAAAUUUUGUCUUCUUUACUGGGCAAAAUAUUUUAACAUGUCUCCUGUAUUGUCCAAUUACCAUGUUAAACCCUUUUCAUUAAAUGAUAUCUUGGAGUGUAAUUUGUGGAAAUGAAAAUUUGGUCCACAUAAAAAUAACUAGUAUUUCUAAAGUAAACAGUAGAUCUCAACCUGAAUAUGUAUUUUGCUUUGUGCUCGUGAUUCUCAGAGUAGCCACACCCAUGCACACAUCUUUCAUAUUCAGAGGUGCAGUGGAUAUUCCUAUGGAUACUUUAAGAAUGUGUAAAUACCACCACGCAGUAACUGAAUCCAAAUUUCAGAAAAUUAUGCAUAUCUUAUUUAGUACUUUAGCAGAAUGUCUUCUGAUAAUGCUAUCCUAACCUUUGUUGCUCAAAACAGAAGUCGUGUAAAUAUCACUCUGCAAUUUUUGGGGUUUUCUAAGAAAUACUCCAGAUACUCUCAAUCUGUUAAAAUGAAUUAGGAAUAAUUUGCUUUUUAAUUCCAUUCUGUGAUUGCUGCUUAUAUAGUUUUCUUUCUAAAGGAGCUGUACUAUGUCCAGUGCUGUUGGUCUUCUAAUAUUUUCCAACAGGAUAAUAUAUAUCUUCAGAGU